CAGCCAUUGGGAUACAGGCUCCGGGACCCGAGCAUCAUCCUCUCCUGGCUGAAAAUUGUAAUUAUGACUCCCUCGUCCUCCUCCUCCGAGGCCGACUAGGCCAACAGGGUCUGGCUGAUCCAUGACGGCUGCGGCAUGAUCUGGGCCAUCAUGUCAUGGCGUCUGGUCGUCUAUGCAGACUUCCUGGUGACUUUGCCAUGCUGCUGCCUUCCAAAGACUUUUGUACUCUGUGGUCAACCGGGUCACCUUUAACUGCUUGGCCGCGCUCGCCCUUUCCUCCCACCUG
This 286-nucleotide long non-coding RNA is filed under the name Homo sapiens (human). RNAcentral's name for it is "non-protein coding lnc-BRF2-20:1". The record is from RNAcentral. Lineage: Eukaryota; Metazoa; Chordata; Mammalia; Primates; Hominidae.